GCCAGACCUCUGGUUCCCAUGGACACGGGAAGUCAUACGGUUCUUGCCUGCUUUGGACCAAAUGAAGGCCCAGAAAUUGCUCACCCUUAAGCCCUCUUUAAAACGAAGACAACAGAAAAUCAUCUACUGUGACCCAGUACUUCACUACGAUGAUGAGCUACUUGGGUUUGCCGUGCAGAAGAUGGGGGGGAAUAGAUGGGCAAAAC
RNAcentral lists this long non-coding RNA (206 nucleotides) under Mustela putorius furo (domestic ferret). RNAcentral's name for it is "lncRNA (ENSMPUG00000028698.1)". Lineage: Eukaryota; Metazoa; Chordata; Mammalia; Carnivora; Mustelidae. The record is from RNAcentral.